Molecule: ribosomal RNA, 424 nt
Filed under: uncultured bacterium
Lineage: Bacteria
Description: bacterial SSU rRNA
Rfam family: Bacterial small subunit ribosomal RNA
Source: RNAcentral
GGGGAAUCUUGCGCAAUGGGCGAAAGCCUGACGCAGCGACGCCGCGUGGGGGAAGAAGGCUUUCGGGUUGUAAACCCCUUUCAGGAGGGACGAAGCCACUCGGGUGAAUAGCCCAGAGGGUGACGGUACCUCCAGAAGAAGCCCCGGCUAACUACGUGCCAGCAGCCGCGGUAAUACGGAGGGGGCUAGCGUUGUUCGGAAUUACUGGGCGUAAAGCGCACGUAGGCGGCGACUCAAGUCAGAGGUGAAAGCCCGGGGCUCAACCCCGGAACUGCCUUUGAAACUAGGUUGCUAGAAUCUUGGAGAGGUCAGUGGAAUUCCGAGUGUAGAGGUGAAAUUCGUAGAUAUUCGGAAGAACACCAGUGGCGAAGGCGACUGACUGGACAAGUAUUGACGCUGAGGUGCGAAAGCGUGGGGAGCAAAC